AGGUCAGCCUGCUUAGUGACUCUGUUCACGGCCGCGGUAUCCUAACCGUGCAAAGGUAGCGUAAUCACUUGUUCAUUAAAUGUGGACUAGUAUGAAUGGCACCACGAAGGUUAUACUGUCUCCUUUCUCUAAUCAGUGAAACUAAUCUCCUCGUGAAGAAGCGAGGAUUAAACGAUAAGACGAGAAGACCCUAUGGAGCUUGAAACAAUACAGCACUUACUAAACACGCACAACUUUCUGAAUAUUAACACCAUUAAUGAUAUGUCUGUAAGUUUUUGGUUGGGGUGACCACGGAGAAUAACUUAACCUCCAUGCUGAAAUUUAACCCAGGACUACCUCCCUAAGUAUUAGCACUUUAACAUUAAUUGACCCAAUACACUUGAACAACGAACUAAGUUACCCUAGGGAUAACAGCGCAAUCCACUUCGAGAGCCCCUAUCGACAAGUGGGUUUACGACCUCGAUGUUGGAUCAGGGUAUCCUAGUGGUGCAGCCGCUACUAAAGGUUCGUUUGUUCAACGAUUAAAACCCUACGUGAUCUGAGUUCAGACCG
RNAcentral lists this ribosomal RNA (552 nucleotides) under Nimbaphrynoides occidentalis (western Nimba toad). RNAcentral describes it as "partial 16S ribosomal RNA". It matches the Rfam family "Bacterial large subunit ribosomal RNA", at positions 1898 to 2618 of the family's 2925-position model. The record is from RNAcentral. Lineage: Eukaryota; Metazoa; Chordata; Amphibia; Anura; Bufonidae.